This is a long non-coding RNA of Pelmatolapia mariae (spotted tilapia), 436 nucleotides long. RefSeq lists it as uncharacterized. The record is from RefSeq and is a predicted model, not a curated record. The transcript has 3 exons. NCBI's taxonomy places the organism in Eukaryota, Metazoa, Chordata, Actinopteri, Cichliformes, Cichlidae.
UUAUUCAGGAAGCCCAAAAACUUCUUAUCCAGAUAACCUAUUGUCUUUGUACGGAGGGACAUUGGAGAAAAAAAAUGAACUGUGCUUUUGCAAGAUCCCGAGUUACUUUUGUGAGAUCCUGCUACAUUUUCAUAGCGGUUCUGUUUCUGUCCAUUCCAGAGUCAGAAGGGCCCACGGAGUAGACAUGGAGGAAGAUUUAGGACAUUUCCUGCGGUCAAGAGAGGUCCCACAAGAGGACAUCAUGCACAUGCAACAACACAAGAUUCAGAAUUUCCAGAUGGAACCAAAACCAAAAAAUCUGAAAUCACUAUGUGAGACAGUGACAGCACAAAGUCCAGACAUAGACGAAGUGGAUACGGUUUUAUGGAAUCUUGAAGAGGACCUUGUCAGAGCAGAUGGUGAUGACACAAACGUGACAACCCUGAGUUAUGUCAAC